Armigeres subalbatus is the source of this 805-nucleotide long non-coding RNA. RefSeq lists it as uncharacterized. NCBI's taxonomy places the organism in Eukaryota, Metazoa, Arthropoda, Insecta, Diptera, Culicidae. The record is from RefSeq and is a predicted model, not a curated record. The transcript has 3 exons.
ACAAACCGGGUGCGCACUCGGUCGUAGCCAAAGAGAGUAAGUCGGGCAGUGCGGUUAUUGCGGCCAAAAGCUGGUGCUGUGUUGUUAAGUCCACUCCGGACUGGGCAUUCAGGAAGUUAGGGUACAACGCACACACAAUUUCUCAUACACUCGGAAGUACCGGGCCGGGGAACGCACUUUAUGGGCGGAGGGCGGAUCCGGACCCAGUAACAGUGGGCAGCCCAUGCUCACCAGGGACCGAUCCCAUCAACAGCUUCGAGCUAUUCAGGAGAAUGAAAGCUGCUUGAUUAUCGUAACAUCCGGCUGGCUGCUGUUGUUCUGUAAACGAAUAUCCGAAAAGCAACGAAUAUCUUCCAGGCGAGGAAAGAGCUUGACUGUUGUCGGUAAUAAACAAGAUGCUAUUUAUGAGCCGAAUGUUUUAAGAGUUUCCUCAGAACGAAGAUGCCUCCGCCCGAUAUUUUCGAGUUAAUUUGGACUCAUCUCGAUGGACUCGUUCCAUACCGAGGGAAAACACUGGGGUAUGAAUAGCGAUGGCUUCAACAAUGAAACUAUUCAGAAUGCAGCUUAGUCAAAUUGAAAUUUAUUACAUCUGGGACCAUUAUCCAGUGCAACAAAGAACAACUCCCACACAGAGACAUCGUGAAAGUGACCCCUUCAUCCCGUUCCAUCAAUCCAUCCACCCCCAGUCGAGUGAAGCAACAAUUGCACAUUAUUCUUACUUGGACGAAUAUAGAAAGAAGACCGACGAGGACGACGACGACUUUCUUUUGAGAAGUCACUCAAGCGGCUAAACACAGAGGUUACC